Molecule: long non-coding RNA, 1222 nt
Organism: Syngnathoides biaculeatus (alligator pipefish)
Lineage: Eukaryota; Metazoa; Chordata; Actinopteri; Syngnathiformes; Syngnathidae
Exons: 4
Source: RefSeq, a predicted model, not a curated record
GAGCGCUAAGGAUAACUGCAGGAGACACAUAACCAAUAGUGAAUUAGUAGAUUGUACUUUUAAAUUGUCCUGGGCAACUCGGAUGUGGAGUACGUCGGCUGGAGGGAACGGAGACGUACAGGGUUGUAUUGAGAGGGACCCAAGACCCAGGUGUUUGUACUAGUUUUGAAGGAAUAAAUCCACUCGCGUGUGAAAAUGCCGGCUUCCUGGUCCCUUCUCUUGCAGAACGAGCGCGCAAAUUGUUCGAUGAGUGGUGGUCGGGUAAGGUCACAAUUUGGAGUCAGAUGAUUAACGGACUUUUGUAUUGAUCUAAAAUAAUAUCCAACACGCCAUGAAAAUCCUCUCGAGGGAUUUGUUUUCGAGAAGAAGCAGGAAGUGACGUACAUGGCAGGGCCGCUCUCAAGUGGACUCGUUUGUUUCUUUUAGUUUUACCUCCGGGAAGGUAGCUCCUUGUUCCUUCGUGUUAGUUAAAAUGCCAGCUCGUUGCAUUGCUGGACAUGGCUUGAACACUUGGGAGGAUGGAUUUACCCUUCAUAACUUUGCAAGAGACCCGGUUCGUCGUGAAAAAUGGAUUGCAUGGGUGCAAAGGACGAGAGCUUCGUGGGUUCCAAAUGAGAGAAUGUGACAGUAGUCCACGUUCCACACAGCCUGGUCAUCCCACACUUUGGAUGCCAACAGGACAGCUCCCAGCACCAUACGCCUCCACGUACCAGGACUCAUGGAAAUCUCUGCGUAUGUCAGCAGCCUCUCCAGGUGGGACAGCGAGCUACGCUAUAACGACACAGAAUGGCUCCUCACCAGCAUGACGAUGGCGCACUCGGACCUGAGCUGCGCGGCACAGAAGAGCGUGCGGACAAAGCAGUAAACCUGCCUCUGCUCCGGGUCUCGACGAUCAUAGUCGGCGGGCACCUGCCUUGAUCUCUGCGGCCCAAAAGGAGAAUUGAAGCUAAAUGUAAACGCCAGCCGAUUCUGGAUCAACAGACUUUGUCAACACAGCAUUUUAAGUGACACAUGGACACUAUUUGUAGGCACAUUGUUCAAUCUGGAAUUUCCUUUUUAACCAAUAUCGGUUAUAUCAAGGUCUGUUUUGUCGAGGCUCCACUGUAUUUUUAGAUGGGUUAUGUUGUGUUAGAUUUUACAUGUUGCAGUCCAUUUAAAUAAUGGACUGUGUUGCAGAGUUAAUAGUUAUAUGUAUAUGCUUUUUUUGUCUUUUAUUUUUUUA